This 28-nucleotide non-coding RNA is filed under the name Mus musculus (house mouse). Lineage: Eukaryota; Metazoa; Chordata; Mammalia; Rodentia; Muridae. The record is from RNAcentral.
UAAUCCCAAAAUGAGAGGAGAAAGACCA